RNAcentral lists this long non-coding RNA (354 nucleotides) under Eucalyptus grandis. RNAcentral's name for it is "long non-coding RNA (EGRA_LNC004507)". Lineage: Eukaryota; Viridiplantae; Streptophyta; Magnoliopsida; Myrtales; Myrtaceae. The record is from RNAcentral.
CGGUGAUCUCGGAGCACACGACGAGGACGCGAGCCCCCUUGUUGUUCUCAGCAAGAUCCUUGGCGAUGCGGAGGACCAGGCCAGCGCCGUAGCAGCCCACCUGGUACAUCAUGUACCGCUUGACGGUGGGGCGGAGGCCCAGGAGCUUGGUGAGCUGGUAGUCGCAGCCCGGCAUGUCGACACCGCUGGUGGUGCAGAACACCAGGUGGGUGAUCUUCGACUUGGGCUGCCCCCAUUCCUUCAGGGCGUUCGCCGCCGCCUCCUUCGCCAGCUUCGGCACUUCCGACACCAGGAUGUCCUGCCGGGCAUCCAAGAGGGUUCCGUGAAUGAACUCAUGCUCGGGUGCUCUUUCAA